AGUGAACGCUGGCGGUAGGCCUAACACAUGCAAGUCGAACGGCAGCACAGUAAGAGCUUGCUCUUACGGGUGGCGAGUGGCGGACGGGUGAGGAAUACAUCGGAAUCUACUUUUUCGUGGGGGAUAACGUAGGGAAACUUACGCUAAUACCGCAUACGACCUACGGGUGAAAGCAGGGGAUCUUCGGACCUUGCGCGAUUGAAUGAGCCGAUGUCGGAUUAGCUAGUUGGCGGGGUAAAGGCCCACCAAGGCGACGAUCCGUAGCUAGUCUGAGAGGAUGAUCAGCCACACUGGAACUGAGACACGGUCCAGACUCCUACGGGAGGCAGCAGUGGGGAAUAUUGGACAAUGGGCGCAAGCCUGAUCCAGCCAUACCGCGUGGGUGAAGAAGGCCUUCGGGUUGUAAAGCCCUUUUGUUGGGAAAGAAAAGCAGCACGUUAAUACCCCGCUGUUCUGACGGUACCCAAAGAAUAAGCACCGGCUAACUUCGUG
RNAcentral lists this ribosomal RNA (492 nucleotides) under uncultured bacterium. RNAcentral describes it as "partial 16S ribosomal RNA". It matches the Rfam family "Bacterial small subunit ribosomal RNA", at positions 29 to 507 of the family's 1533-position model. The record is from RNAcentral.